UACGUAGGGGGCUAGCGUUGUCCGGAAUCAUUGGGCGUAAAGCGCGUGUAGGCGGCCCGGUAAGUCCGCUGUGAAAGUCCAGGGCUCAACCCUGGGAUGCCGGUGGAUACUGUCGGGCUCGAGUCCGGAAGAGGAGUGUGGAAUUCCUAGUGUAGCGGUGAAAUGCGCAGAUAUCAGGAGGAACACCAAUGGCGAAGGCAGCACUCUGGGACGUGACUGACGCUGAGACGCGAAAGCGUGGGGAGCAAACAGG
Molecule: ribosomal RNA, 253 nt
Filed under: uncultured bacterium
Lineage: Bacteria
Description: partial 16S ribosomal RNA
Rfam family: Bacterial small subunit ribosomal RNA
Source: RNAcentral